This 468-nucleotide ribosomal RNA is filed under the name uncultured bacterium. Its description in RNAcentral is "partial 16S ribosomal RNA". It matches the Rfam family "Bacterial small subunit ribosomal RNA", at positions 28 to 507 of the family's 1533-position model. The record is from RNAcentral.
GACGAACGCUGGCGGCGUGCUUAACACAUGCAAGUCGAACGGAAAGGCCCUGCUUUUGUGGGGUGCUCGAGUGGCGAACGGGUGAGUAACACGUGAGUAACCUGCCCAUGACUUUGGGAUAACUUCAGGAAACUGGGGCUAAUACCGGAUAGGAGCUCCUGCUGCAUGGUGGGGGUGGGAAAGUUUCGGCGGUUGGGGAUGGACUCGCGGCUUAUCAGCUUGUUGGUGGGGUAGUGGCUUACCAAGGCUUUGACGGGUAGCCGGCCUGAGAGGGUGACCGGCCACCUUGGGACUGAGAUACGGCCCAGACUCCUACGGGAGGCAGCAGUGGGGAAUAUUGCACAAUGGGCGGAAGCCUGAUGCAGCAACGCCGCGUGCGGGAUGACGGCCUUCGGGUUGUAAACCGCUUUCGCCUGUGACGAAGCGUGAGUGACGGUACUGGGUAAAGAAGCACCGGCUAACUACGUG